AGAGUGGCGGACGGGUGAGUAACGCGUGGGAAUCUACCUAGUAGUGGAGGAUAACUCGGGGAAACUCGAGCUAAUACUGCAUACGCCCUACGGGGGAAAGCGGGGGAUCUUCGGACCUCGCGCUAUUGGAUGAGCCCGCGUUAGAUUAGCUUGUUGGUGAGGUAAUGGCUCACCAAGGCGACGAUCCGUAACUGGUCUGAGAGGAUGAUCAGUCACACUGGAACUGAGACACGGUCCAGACUCCUACGGGAGGCAGCAGUGGGGAAUAUUGGACAAUGGGCGAAAGCCUGAUCCAGCAAUGCCGCGUGAGUGAUGAAGGCCUUAGGGUCGUAAAGCUCUUUCGCCAGAGAUGAUAAUGACAGUAUCUGGUAAAGAAACCCCGGCUAACUCCGUGCCAGCAGCCGCGGUAAUACGGAG
RNAcentral lists this ribosomal RNA (417 nucleotides) under Gephyrocapsa oceanica. RNAcentral's name for it is "partial Bacterial small subunit ribosomal RNA". It matches the Rfam family "Bacterial small subunit ribosomal RNA", at positions 92 to 530 of the family's 1533-position model. The record is from RNAcentral. Lineage: Eukaryota; Haptophyta; Isochrysidales; Noelaerhabdaceae.